AACUCUCACGGGUACUUUCUCCAUUAAUUCUUGUUAUAAGGCUCUCCCUCUUGAUCCAAAAGCACCAAAGAGCCAUACCUGGAUCUGGAAACUCACUUACCACCUAGGCUUAAGACAUUUUUGUGGCUGUUUAGUCAUAACAAACUUCUAACCACUGUGUUCUUAUAUCACAUUGGCAUGGUCACAUGUCCUACGUGUCCCAUUUGCCUCUUCUCUACGAAAUUUAUAUCCCAUAUCUUCA
Molecule: long non-coding RNA, 241 nt
Filed under: Capsicum annuum
Lineage: Eukaryota; Viridiplantae; Streptophyta; Magnoliopsida; Solanales; Solanaceae
Description: long non-coding RNA (CANN_LNC000182)
Source: RNAcentral